AGCAAGCAAGAAUUUUUUUUCUUCCUCUCAUUUCGGCAGUAAGAAGGAAGAAACCAUUUUUUUGUCAUGGGUUUGCUGAGCUUCUUGGGCAACAAGGUAUCGUAGCGACAACGGGGCAGAGCAGCGGAGACCUGUGGCAGAGCGAGGCAGCAACCGGCCAUCUGACGGAGGUGAAAUCUAAAGCGGAGUGGAGGCAGAGGCGGAGGACCGGAGUCUCGCAUUCUUGCACUCUCGCACAGGAAGAAAGAAAAAACCUGCUUACACUUUGAGAAAUGGGAAGAUAAGAAAGCAUGCGUACAAUUAAAAAAAAUCAACAGCAUGGUGUACACUUUGGG
Molecule: long non-coding RNA, 335 nt
Organism: Ipomoea triloba (trilobed morning glory)
Lineage: Eukaryota; Viridiplantae; Streptophyta; Magnoliopsida; Solanales; Convolvulaceae
Exons: 3
Source: RefSeq, a predicted model, not a curated record